UAGGGAAUCUUCGGCAAUGGACGAAAGUCUGACCGAGCAACGCCGCGUGAGUGAAGAAGGUUUUCGGAUCGUAAAACUCUGUUGUUAGAGAAGAACAAGGACGUUAGUAACUGAACGUCCCCUGACGGUAUCUAACCAGAAAGCCACGGCUAACUACGUGCCAGCAGCCGCGGUAAUACGUAGGUGGCAAGCGUUGUCCGGAUUUAUUGGGCGUAAAGCGAGCGCAGGCGGUUUCUUAAGUCUGAUGUGAAAGCCCCCGGCUCAACCGUGGAGGGUCAUUGGAAACUGGGGGAAUUGAGUGCAGAAGAGGGGAGGGGAAUUCCAUGUGUGGCGGGGAAAUGCGUAGAUAUAUGGGGGAACACCAGUGGCGAAGGCGGCUCUCUGGUCUGUAACUGACGCUGAGGCUCGAAAGCGUGGGGAGCAAACAGG
Molecule: ribosomal RNA, 429 nt
Filed under: Chloroflexota bacterium
Lineage: Bacteria; Bacillati; Chloroflexota
Description: Chloroflexi bacterium partial 16S ribosomal RNA
Rfam family: Bacterial small subunit ribosomal RNA
Source: RNAcentral